CUGAUUUGCAACACUGGCUAAGAACAGACAACGGCUUUAGUCUAUGGUAAGUGUAAGUGUAUACAGGAAAGGGAAACAUCUCAUCAGAUUUUAUCAGACUGGAAUAAAGCAGGGAACCAGUAUCUGGGCUGCUGGAGAUCUGGUGAUGUAUCUGAGAUCUGAUAAAGACAGGCAUUUGUGACAGUACAAGUAUUUCCUUAUGUGAAAAACAGCAGAAAAUAAUGUCCACAUACUGUGAASUCUUGCAGCUGAAGACACCUGAGAUACAGUACUGAAUCUGGAAAAAAAAAAAGGAUUGUUCAUGAAAGAGAAGAUAUUACUGAUUUAAAAUCUGAGUUCAUGUUGUGUUUAUAUAGAAGUAUAAAAUAUAUAUAUUUUAUAUGAUAUGAAAAAUAAUCACUUUCCUUAUGCACUUACAUGUGUGUGCAUACACACACAUAUAUAUACAUGCAUAUAUAGGUUUUCAUUGCUCCACUUAUGAAGGCACAUGAGAAAUCUUCAUCUCUUUUUAGCAGGUUUUAAGAUGGUGAGGGAUGUAACAUAGUGUGUAUGUCUCAAAAAUCACAGUCUAAGCCAGUAGGAAGCACUGAGAAAAUGGAAACUCACCUUCUCAAAUGCUGGAUGUGAUACCUCAAUUUCUGUUCUUCGAAGACAAUGGGGAUAAGGUUGUGCAAGCCAAAGAACAAGACAAAAGAAAGCAGCCUCAGGAACACUGCUGCAAAUGAGUACCUCUACCUACAAUGAGAAACUUUCCCUAGACAUAUUUCUCACUUUUCUAUUAUCUUCUACAACAACUCGAAGAAAAUAUUUUUCCUUUCUGCAGUUCCUGCGAUUCAAGUUGACAGUCAUGCCUCAUCUAAACUCUGAUACAUGUCUUCUCUUGAUUUUGUUAUGCUAG
Molecule: long non-coding RNA, 898 nt
Filed under: Dromaius novaehollandiae (emu)
Lineage: Eukaryota; Metazoa; Chordata; Aves; Casuariiformes; Dromaiidae
Description: lncRNA (ENSDNVG00000005110.1)
Source: RNAcentral